UGAGCUGCCCUGAUCCUCAGGUCCACUGUGAGCUGCUCUGCUGGAGUGUGUUGGCUUCUCUUAGCAGCACCACCAUGUGGUCCUGAAAUGAGUGUGGCACCAUUCAGUGCACCCCUCAUUUUAGAGAAGAGGAAACUUAAAUGGAGGGCAAGGUGGCCCAAGGGGAUGCUGGGAAGUUGGGGACAGGGGAGCAAAGAAGUCCCCAGGCUGGUGCUGAUCUCCUUGUGCCCAGGUGUGUGUGCAGUGUGGUGCCUUCGCUCAUCCUGGAAGGUCCCUUUGUGCUCCCAGCUGGUGACCUCACUUCUUGUCACUCUGAGAAAAUAGAAGCCACCAGGAGAGAAUGUCCUUAGCUACUCACCUGUCCACCUGCCUACAUCAGGACCUGAAUCUCCUGCAUCUGUCCUGAGGCCGAGGUGCAAGCUCAUCCAUAGGAUACAUUUCCAAAACUAGAAGAAUCUUCUCAAAAGGCACUCUCUGUCAAUGAGGUGGCACAGGCAUCCAUCCCUUAGCAGCUCCAGGGUUCCAUUUGACCAGCUGAUCAUCCUCCAUAAAAAAGAAACACCUCUUUCUCAAUAAAAACACGAACAACUUACUUGGUGCCUAACAUGUUCU
Talpa occidentalis (Iberian mole) is the source of this 612-nucleotide long non-coding RNA. RefSeq lists it as uncharacterized. The transcript is spliced from 4 exons. Lineage: Eukaryota; Metazoa; Chordata; Mammalia; Eulipotyphla; Talpidae. The record is from RefSeq and is a predicted model, not a curated record.